AGUGAAGAGAGGUCAGCAGCCUCAGCCCUGCCUGGCAGGAUGGAGGCUGUCCUCAGCCUGAGCAGAACUGAUUUACCAGUUUAUUAGAGAAGGGUGGCUUUUUGGGUGUGGGGAUUUUUAUUCUUGGCCUCUGGAUUCACAGACCUGAGACUGAAUCCAGGAUCUGUCACACUGACUAGCAAUGCACCCUUGGAUGCAGACGCACCUGAUAACUGAAAAAGGAUACAGAGAGCAGAACUGGAACUAGAGGGAACUAGACAUCUCUCUGAAGAACAGAGUGGACCAAAUGCUUCGGCUUGAAUUUCCGAUGCUCCACAAAGGCCGAGCUGAAGGCCGCACCCCCAGGAACGUGGGAAAGAAGUGAGAGAGAAGCAGAAGGAGGCACCGUCCUGGUGAGGAUGAGCCCUGAUGUCCAGCUCCCCUCCGCUCCCAGGGUCCGCAGGGAGGCAGCCGCAGCCAGCUUUGGUCAUAUGGGAUGGAUGCCUCUCAGCCAAGCUGCCUGGGAAGCCAGGUUCCUGAAGUCCAACUGUAUUUCUUCCUUCUCCAUAAGGUGGCCUGGGUUGGGGACAUUGAGUCUCUCGCUUCCUUGGAGAGCUGCAUAAAUCUGAGAGGUCUUUGUGCCAGCAGGGGCGUGGGACUAGGGUGCAGUCCAAUUCUAUUGAGAGACUGAGAGGCUCUUGUGUCUUCUGCCUUUCGAAACAGUCCACAGGAUA
Molecule: long non-coding RNA, 713 nt
Organism: Camelus dromedarius (Arabian camel)
Lineage: Eukaryota; Metazoa; Chordata; Mammalia; Artiodactyla; Camelidae
Exons: 4
Source: RefSeq, a predicted model, not a curated record